AUGUCCUCACAAAGUCAAGUAAUCUUCACUAUUUUGAUUGUAUUUGGUUACUUCUGAUGAGCCUAUGGGCCUCUUUCACAAGGAUGCAGCAAAGGAGGAUGCUUAGCUGGACACAUAGAAGACUAGAGCAAUGAAUGUCCACAGACGCACUAAGCCUGGUGUUUGAUGAUGUCCGUGUUCUCCUCUGAACUCAAGGAGAAGAAAAUUUUGCCGAGGAUGUGACAACCUUAGAGAGGCAGGCCUUGAAUACAUGCUAAAGCCUUCUUUUGCUCAACUUGUGCCAGAUGAUGGCCUUAGUUGAACAUCUUCUUAGGAAUCAGAAAAUGGCCUGGAAAUAAGAUGCUAUCCCAAAAGCCAUGGACUGUAAUGAGUUGGAGGACCACGGAUCCACUGGAUUUGAAAUAUUCGCUCAAACGCUGUUACUGCUUGACUUGUGUGGAAAAUUCCGCUCAGAAUGGCUGCAUUGCAUGCACCAUCAUAAAGGAGUGCCUGACAUUGAUUGGCUGUCAUGACCAAUGGUUUACGAGACACCGAGGGUCAUCAUUCAAGGAGGUGUUCUUGCUCUGGAAGACAAGCUUGACCUUCAGCAAUGCAUGCAGUUUUUCUCUCAAGGCAUUGUUGAAACAGGACAAAAAGGCGCUAUGAGAAAUUCUUGUGGAAAAUUCUGCUCAGAAUGGCUUCAUGGCAUGCACCUUCAUAAAGGAGUGCUUCACUUCGAUUGGCUGUCAUGAUCAAUGGUUUACAAGUCACUGAGAGACAUCAUUCAAGGAGGUGUUUCUGGUCUGAAGGGAAGCUGGACCUUCAGCAAUGCAUGCAGUUUUUCUCUCAAGCAUUUGUUGAAACAGGACAAAAAGGCAUCUUGAGAUAAUCUUGGCAUGCUGUUCUAGAAUCCCCAUGAUUCUUUUUCAAACAGAGGGCGAAUACACUUUUGUCCUGCUCUAAGGAAAGCGAUAUUCAUUCUUGUUUAAUAAUAAUCAAUAUAUUUGUGACUCACGAUGUGAAUGACCAUGUCCUCUGCUGGGCUUUUUCUGGAAACUUAGUG
Long non-coding RNA from Carlito syrichta (Philippine tarsier), 1042 nucleotides. RefSeq lists it as uncharacterized. NCBI's taxonomy places the organism in Eukaryota, Metazoa, Chordata, Mammalia, Primates, Tarsiidae. The record is from RefSeq and is a predicted model, not a curated record. The transcript has 5 exons.